This 494-nucleotide ribosomal RNA is filed under the name uncultured bacterium. RNAcentral describes it as "partial 16S ribosomal RNA". It matches the Rfam family "Bacterial small subunit ribosomal RNA", at positions 28 to 507 of the family's 1533-position model. The record is from RNAcentral.
GACGAACGCUGGCGGCGUGCUUAACACAUGCAAGUCGAACGGUGAAGCGCCUUCCUUUUUGGUGGGUGUGGAUGAGUGGCGAACGGGUGAGUAACACGUGAGUAACCUGCCCCCUUCUUCUGGAUAACCGCAUGAAAGUGUGGCUAAUACGGGAUAUUCUGGGUCUGUCGCAUGAUGGGUCUGGGAAAGAUAUUGUUUCGGUGGGGGAUGGGCUCGCGGCCUAUCAGCUUGUUGGUGGGGUGAUGGCCUACCAAGGCGGUGACGGGUAGCCGGCCUGAGAGGGCGGACGGUCACACUGGGACUGAGACACGGCCCAGACUCGUACGGGAGGCAGCAGUGGGGAGUAUUGCACAAUGGGCGAAAGCCUGAUGCAGCGACGCCGCGUGAGGGAUGGAGGCCUUCGGGUUGUGAACCUCUUUCGCCAGUGAAGCAGGCCUGCCUCGUUUGUGGGUGGGUUGACGGUAGCUGGAUAAGAAGCGCCGGCUAACUACGUG